RNAcentral lists this unclassified non-coding RNA (350 nucleotides) under soil metagenome. RNAcentral describes it as "partial contains 5.8S ribosomal RNA, internal transcribed spacer 2, and large subunit ribosomal RNA". The stretch from base 1 to 121 matches the Rfam family "5.8S ribosomal RNA", at positions 35 to 154 of the family's 154-position model. The record is from RNAcentral.
GAUGAAGAACGUAGCGAAAUGCGAUAAGUAAUGCGAAUUGCAGAAUUUCCGUGAGUCAUCGAAUCUUUGAACGCACAUUGCGCCCGCCAGCACUCUGGCGGGCAUGCCUGUCCGAGCGUCAUUUCAACCCUCAGGGCCCCUUCGGGGGACCUGGCGUUGGGGAUCGGCCCGCCCCCGUGCGGCGCCGUCCCCGAAAUAUAGUGGCGGUCUCGCUGCAGCCUCCCCUGCGUAGUAGCACACCUCGCACUGGAGAGCGGCGCGGCCACGCCGUGAAACCCCCAACUUCUGAAUGUUGACCUCGGAUCAGGUAGGAAUACCCGCUGAACUUAAGCAUAUCAAUAAGCGGAGGA